Molecule: ribosomal RNA, 1344 nt
Filed under: metagenome
Description: bacterial LSU rRNA
Rfam family: Bacterial large subunit ribosomal RNA
Source: RNAcentral
UGAAUAGGAGGGGCUACGGCACCGAAGUGGUUGAUGUCAGACUUCCAAGAAAAGCUUGCACUGUCAUAAAUAGAAAAUGCCUGUACCAUAACCGACACAGGUGGGUAGGUAGAGUAUACUAAGGGGCGCGAGAUAACUCUCUCUAAGGAACUCGGCAAAAUGACUCCGUAACUUCGGGAGAAGGAGUGCCUUAUUUAUAAGGUUGCAAUAACAAGAUCCAAGCAACUGUUUAUCAAAAACACAGGUCUCCGCUAAGUCGUAAGACGAUGUAUGGGGGCUGACGCCUGCCCAGUGCCAGAAGGUUAAAGAAGUUGGUUAGUGUAUGCGAAGCUGAUGACUGAAGCCCUGGUGAACGGCGGCCGUAACUAUAACGGUCCUAAGGUAGCGAAAUUCCUUGUCGGGUAAGUUCCGACCCGCACGAAAGGCGUAAUGAUUUGGAUACUGUCUCGGAGAGAGGCUCGGUGAAAUAGACUUGUCUGUGAAGAUGCGGACUACCUGCACCAGGACAGAAAGACCCUAUGAAGCUUUACUGUAACUUGAAAUUGGAAUUGGACUUUGCUUGCGCAGUAUAGGUGGGAAGCGUUGAAGAUAUUCUUGCGGGAGUAUUGGAGCUAUCAGUGAGAUACCACUCUUGUAAUGUUAGAUUUCUAACUUUGAACCAUAAUCUGGUCAAAGAACAGUUUCAGGUGGGCAGUUUGACUGGGGCGGUCGCCUCCCAAAUGGUAACGGAGGCGUACAAAGGUUUCCUCUGAACGGAUAGAAAUCGUAUCUAGAGUGUAAAGGCAUAAGGAAGCUUGACUGUGAGACCUACAAGUCGAGCAGGGACGAAAGUCGGUCUUAGUGAUCUGACGGUACUGAGUGGAAAGGCCGUCACUCAACGGAUAAAAGUUACUCUAAGGAUAACAGGCUGAUCUCCCCCAAGAGUUCACAUCGACGGGGAGGUUUGGCACCUCGAUGUCGGCUCAUCGCAUCCUGGGGCGGUAGUACGUCCCAAGGGUUGGGCUGUUCGCCCAUGAAAGCGGUACGCGAGCUGGGUUCAGAACGUCGUGAGACAGUUCGGUCCAUAUCCGGUGUAGGCGUUAGAAUAUUGAGAGGAGCCUUCUUUAGUACGAGAGGACCGAGAAGGACACACCGCUGGUGUACCAGUUAUCGUGCCAACGGUAAACGCUGGGUAGCUAUGUGUGGAGUGGAUAACCGCUGAAAGCAUCUAAGUGGGAAGCCCACCUCAAGAUGAGUAUUCUCAUCACUAUAAGUGAGUAAGGUCACGGUAAGACUAACCGUUUGAUAGGCAUUAAGUGUAAAUGUAGUAAUGCAUGUGCUGAGAUGUCCUAACAGACCGAGGAC